AAGAGCCAUGUGAGAUGAAAGUUUCAUGCACGGUUUUGAAUGAGAGAAAAAAGUGAGGAAUCUUUCACAGAUUUCCUAUAGGGUCUCCUUGUAAGUGACACUUUUCUAAAU
Molecule: non-coding RNA, 111 nt
Filed under: Olea europaea subsp. europaea
Lineage: Eukaryota; Viridiplantae; Streptophyta; Magnoliopsida; Lamiales; Oleaceae
Source: RNAcentral